RNAcentral lists this ribosomal RNA (374 nucleotides) under uncultured Glomeromycotina. Its description in RNAcentral is "LSU rRNA". The record is from RNAcentral. Lineage: Eukaryota; Fungi; Glomeromycota.
UUGAAAGGGAAACGAUUGAAGUCAGUCGUACCAGCGGGAAAUCAACCUUUCGAGUGGGGUUUUGGAGUUUUUUGAAGAGUGUCAAAACCUUUAUUCCAAAAUAUUCGCUCUUUUGGUGUACUUUCUCGUGGGUAGGUUAACAUCGAUUUUGAUCAUCAUAAAAAGAUUGGAGGAAUGUAGCUUCGAUCAUGUAUUGAAGUGUUAUAGCCUUUGGUAAAUGUGAUGAUUAGGAUCGAGGAUUGCAACGAAUACCCUUUUGGGCUAUCCGCCUGAUCUCUGAUACGUGGCCUUGGUAUCGAAAGCGUGCUUAUGGUAUUGAGGUAUUACGGUCAAAAGGUUAGAACGGAUUUNCAUUCGUUAAGGAUGUUGACGUA